This 915-nucleotide ribosomal RNA is filed under the name uncultured bacterium. Its description in RNAcentral is "bacterial SSU rRNA". It matches the Rfam family "Bacterial small subunit ribosomal RNA", at positions 68 to 998 of the family's 1533-position model. The record is from RNAcentral.
GUUAAAGCACCUUUUAGGUGUGUAUAAAGUGGCGAACGGCUGAGUAACACGUGGGCAACCUGCCCUCCUCUUGGGGAUAGCCUCGGGAAACCGAGGAUAAUACCCGAUACUUCAAUGUGGCCGCAUGACGACAUUGAGAAAGCUUUUGCGGAGAAGGAUGGGCCCGCGGCCUGUUAGCUUGUUGGUGGGGUAGAGGCCUACCAAGGCAAUGAUGGGUAGCUGGGUUGAGAGACCGACCAGCCAGAUUGGGACUGAGACACGGCCCAGACUCCUACGGGAGGCAGCAGUGGGGAAUCUUGCACAAUGGGCGAAAGCCUGAUGCAGCGACGCCGCGUGCGGGAAGAAGGCCUUCGGGUUGUAAACCGCUUUCAGCAGGGACGAGGCGUAAGUGACGGUACCUGCAGAAGAAGCCCCGGCUAACUACGUGCCAGCAGCCGCGGUAAUACGUAGGGGGCAAGCGUUAUCCGGAUUCAUUGGGCGUAAAGCGCUCGUAGGCGGUCUGUUAGGUCGGGAGUUAAAUCCGGAGGCUCAACCUCCGUUCGCUCCCGAUACCGGCAGACUUGAGUUUGGUAGGGGAAGGUGGAAUUCCUAGUGUAGCGGUGGAAUGCGCAGAUAUUAGGAAGAACACCAGUGGCGAANGCGGCCUUCUGGGCCACAACUGACGCUGAGGAGCGAAAGCUAGGGGAGCAAACAGGAUUAGAUACCCUGGUAGUCCUAGCUGUAAACGAUGGACACUAGGUGUGGGAGAAUACGUCUUCCGUGCCGCAGCUAACGCAUUAAGUGUCCCGCCUGGGGAGUACGGCCGCAAGGCUAAAACUCAAAGGAAUUGACGGGGACCCGCACAAGCAGCGGANCAUGUGGUUUAAUUCGAAGCAACGCNAANAACCUUACCAGGGCUUGACAUGUAGNUGAAGC